UUCCUUAUCGGCAAAACGGUUUCAG
Molecule: non-coding RNA, 25 nt
Filed under: Drosophila erecta
Lineage: Eukaryota; Metazoa; Arthropoda; Insecta; Diptera; Drosophilidae
Also listed under: 1 other name
Source: RNAcentral